Molecule: ribosomal RNA, 249 nt
Filed under: uncultured prokaryote
Description: partial 16S ribosomal RNA
Rfam family: Bacterial small subunit ribosomal RNA
Source: RNAcentral
UACGGAGGAUGCAAGCGUUAUCCGGAUUCAUUGGGUUUAAAGGGUGCGUAGGCGGGCUAUUAAGUCAGUGGUGAAAUCCUGCAGCUUAACUGCAGAACUGCCGUUGAUACUGAUAGUCUUGAGUUUGGUUAAGGUAGGCGGAAUGUGUAAUGUAGCGGUGAAAUGCUUAGAUAUCACACAGAACACCGAUUGCGAAGGCAGCACACUAAGUCAUUAUUGACGCUGAGGCACGAAAGUGUGGGGAUCAAA